GACGAACGCUGGCGGCGUGCUUAACACAUGCAAGUCGAACGGAAAGGCCCUGCUUUUGUGGGGUUCUCGAUUGGCGAACGGGUGAGUAACACGUGAGUAACCUGCCCUUGUCUUUGGGAUAACUUCAGGAAACUGGGGCUAAUAUCGGAUAGGAUCUCCUGCUGCAUGUUGUGGGUUGGUAAGUUUCGGCGGUUGGGGAUGGACUCGCGGCUUAUGAGCUUGUUGGUGGGGUAGGUGCUUACCAAGGCUUUGACGGGUAGCCGGCCUGAGAGGGUGACCGGCCACAAUGGGACUGAGAUACGGACCAGACGCCUACGGGCGGCAGCAGGGGGGAGUAUUGCACAAUGGGCGGAAGCCUGAUGCAGAAACGCCGCGUGCGGGAUAACGGCCUUCGGGUUGUAAACCGAUUUGGACUGUGACGAAGCGUGAGUGACGGUAAUGGGUAAAGAAGCACCGGCUAACUACGUG
Molecule: ribosomal RNA, 468 nt
Filed under: uncultured bacterium
Lineage: Bacteria
Description: partial 16S ribosomal RNA
Rfam family: Bacterial small subunit ribosomal RNA
Source: RNAcentral